GGGGAAUAUUGGACAAUGGGGGGAACCCUGAUCCAGCCAUGCCGCGUGUGUGAAGAAGGCCUUAUGGUUGUAAAGCACUUUAAGCGAGGAGGAGGCUACUCUAGUUAAUACCUAGGGAUAGUGGACGUUACUCGCAGAAUAAGCACCGGCUAACUCUGUGCCAGCAGCCGCGGUAAUACAGAGGGUGCGAGCGUUAAUCGGAUUUACUGGGCGUGAAGCGUGCGUAGGCGGCUUAUUAAGUCGGAUGUGAAAUCCCCGAGCUUAACUUGGGAAUUGCAUUCGAUACUGGUGAGCUAGAGUAUGGGAGAGGAUGGCAGAAUUCCAGGUGUAGCGGUGAAAUGCGUAGAGAUCUGGAGGAAUACCGAUGGCGAAGGCAGCCAUCUGGCCUAAUACUGACGCUGAGGUACGAAAGCAUGGGGAGCAAAC
RNAcentral lists this ribosomal RNA (426 nucleotides) under uncultured bacterium. Its description in RNAcentral is "bacterial SSU rRNA". It matches the Rfam family "Bacterial small subunit ribosomal RNA", at positions 356 to 773 of the family's 1533-position model. The record is from RNAcentral.